GGAGGUCUUAGCUUAAAUUAAAGCGUCUGAGUUGCAUUCAGGAGAUGUAUAGUAAUGUACAGGUCUUCAGAAGGU
RNAcentral lists this transfer RNA (75 nucleotides) under Stenodactylus sthenodactylus (elegant gecko). RNAcentral's name for it is "tRNA-Ala". Lineage: Eukaryota; Metazoa; Chordata; Lepidosauria; Squamata; Gekkonidae. The record is from RNAcentral.